ACAAUUCUUUUCCAAAUUUUGUUCCCAUUUCAUAACCCAAAAAUUAAUACAUAAUAAGAUAUGCUAUCAUAUAUUAAAAUAUAAGAUAAGCAAAGUGCCAUAUUAGAAUUUGCUUGUGUCAUGUGAAUUUUCUUGCAACAAGUUGAGGACUAUGUCAACUUUCUCAAUUCUAGAAAUUUUCUGAAAGCUUAAAUUUGAUUUUUGAACUCAUAUCCUUUCAAUUUAUGUGUUUGUUUUUUCUGUAAAUCUGAUAUUAGUAUACUUAGAAAUUGCCACACUAUCUUUUUCCCUUUGUUUAUGUUUGUUAUUUUGUGUUUAUAACAUCAGAAUUCNAAGCCCUNUUCCGGCACAAANUUUCAGUAUGUUGAGAACACUAUAGUAUGCCAUGAUUAUCAGGAGAUAAAAAUUCAAGAAAGUACACAGGUGCUAGGUAUUGGGGCAAUUCCUCGUUCAAUUCUUGUCAUCUUAAAGGAUGACCUCAUUGAUGUUGUUAAAGCUGGAGGUUUGUGAUAUUGCUGUUCUUGACAUCUCAGCAACAACCAUUGAUCAAGAUGAAUCAAAUGUUAAAAAUAUUCCUUCAAGUAAAGGCUUUAAUUUUGAUACCGAGGAUGGAGACAAGGUAUUACCAGGUUUCCUUGAUUCAAUAAUUGGAAUUCAUCGAGGUGAAUCAAAGUCUUUUCCUCUUGUAUUUCCUGAA
This is a long non-coding RNA of Vigna radiata var. radiata (mung bean), 697 nucleotides long. RefSeq lists it as uncharacterized. The transcript has 3 exons. The record is from RefSeq and is a predicted model, not a curated record. NCBI's taxonomy places the organism in Eukaryota, Viridiplantae, Streptophyta, Magnoliopsida, Fabales, Fabaceae.